This 2266-nucleotide long non-coding RNA is filed under the name Marmota monax (woodchuck). Lineage: Eukaryota; Metazoa; Chordata; Mammalia; Rodentia; Sciuridae. The record is from RNAcentral.
GUGGUCCACCUCUUUGGGAAGCUCCGGGUCCCGAAGGGUACCCCAAGUCCUGGGGAGAGAUUGUCAGCAUUUCCAGGUGAAGGACGGGAGGCGGAGCAGCUGCAGCAGGGACCAGGGAUGGGCUGGCACUGGGGAGCCAGGGGUCAUACAGAGGGAGGGUGGCGGGGGCAAGCGAGGUCCCCCAGAAUUCCUUGACUCAUGGCUUGGGAGACAGACACCCAGAAGAGGACUCACCGGAGUCUCCUGGAGCUGGGAAAAGCAGGGUGGUGUCGGGCCCAGGGCUCCCCACCAGGGCCCAGGUGGCCUCCCCUUCCUCUUGUGGACAGUGGUCAGGGCCUGGGCCUGCAGCCAGGGGCUGUCUCUGUCAGGCUUCUCCGAGAUGUGCUCAUGCUACCGUAAGAUGAGUGAUGGCAUCGCCAUGACCCCUAAGAGUUCCAGAAGUCACGACUGGGGCCUUUGCAGAAGGGAUCCUGGCUGGGCCACCCAAGCUGCGUUCCUUCCAGAGCAGGAACAUAUCUGGGGGUCAAUCCAUGGAAAAGAGGAGAGGAGCGGAGGGAGAGUUAAGAAGGGUGAGGACGAUGCCAGGGGCCUUAUGAAUUGGCCACCGCAGGGGUGACAGGGCCCUGGGCAACAGGAUCUUCUGAGCCAAGGGACAAGGGAGUGUGUUGCUCCCCACACUGGUGCGGUCUCCUGGCCAGGCCACAACCCCUGCGCUUGCUCUCCGGCUGCGCCAAGGGGAUCCAGCACCCCUAGGCAGCCCAGGGGUGCCCCAGGCAGGAAGUGAGGCAGGCACAGGUGCAGGGCCCAGCAGGGAGCAGCGGGGCUGAGCAUGAGCUGAGGACCCGAGGACUAGGGUGGCCCAGGACACUCCCAGUCCUGCCGGCUGCCCUCUGCCUCUGCUCCUCCCCCUCGAGAGAUGGACACCUGUACCCAGCAGCCCUGACCGCGUGUCUUCCAGCUCUGUCUUCUCCCGCCCUUGUGGUCCCUGGUCUCUGUUCCUCCUUCUGGGAGGUUCCUCAGCCUCUGCUUCUGCUGACAGCUGAUGGCCAACUUCUGAGACCUAAGUUCAAAUUUCCAAGCCCAUAUCCCAAGGGGGCAGGUGGUCCCAUCACCCCUCCGGGCCCUACUGUCCUGUCCCUGAGCCCAGGGGUCAGACGCCCUCGCGAGGCUCAGGAAACCCAUUUUCGUUUCCCAACAGCUCUGCUGUCAGGAAGCCGUCGGAUCCCUCCUUCUACUGGCUUCUGAUCUUAGAAGAGAUGGAGAAGGUAUCUGCCUGUUGCCUGGGGUGGGGUGGCGUGGGUCAUACUGAGGGUCUCCCACAGGGGCCAUCAUCCCAAAGAGCCCCCGUGGCCAGCAGAACAAGGGCUCCUGAAGAUGCCCCCAGUGCUGUGCAGCAGGUUGGGGUGGGGGGGUUAGUUUGCUGAUGACAUCAAGGGGGUGAAGGGAGAGGUCUGACGGCGUGGAGAUUAUGCUGGGUCAUCUGGGCCCACUCCAACCCCUGGGGUCCUUAAAUGCAGAGGGGGGCAGACAAGGAUGCCUUCACCUGCCAUUACAGGUGGAAGGGGAAGGGGCUGUGAGCCCAGAGAUGCAGGUGGCCCCUACAGCAGGAAAACGUGGAAAGAGCCAUAUGGUGGCCCAGGGAAUCGGGAGUCAGGCAGGAGGAGGAGAUGGGCCCCCAAGCUUCCCUGCGACUGGGCAGGGUGGAUCCCCCGGGUUAGGAGCCAAGCCAACCAGAGUGGCCUGUCCGACGGGCUCUACCCUGCCCUGCCCUCCAAGGCAGCAGCCCCAGUGCCAGUCAUCCGUGACAGUCUGAUGCCACCAUCUCCUGUGCAGCUAGACCACGGGUGCCACGCUGCAGCUGGCAUCUCGCUGGGGACAGGCCUCGGAGGGAGCCUGCAGUCCUCUUCUCUUGUCUGUCCUGCUUGAGGAGCGUCACACCCCCACUGAGCCUCAGUUUCCCCUUUGCCCUCAGGCCCCUUCCUUGAGCUGUGAAGGACACGCUGAGUAUGACGUUCUGCUGAAUGCAGGCACGGCCCAGGUGGCUCAGGUGGCCGCUGGGGAGGACCACAGGGCUGCAGGCCUGGGAGGUCUGAGCCCGCUUCUCCACUGGAAAAGGGGCCAGGGGCAGAUGAUGGAGUCCGUCCUCUGACUCAGGCCCAACGUUCCCCCCGUGCCCACUGGUGUCGUGGGAGGGCCAGAUGGCGUCCAUCUUGGUGAAGGAGGAGCUCGGACCCCGGGGAGCAGAUGAAAAGCGAGGUUGGACGUG